RNAcentral lists this ribosomal RNA (253 nucleotides) under uncultured bacterium. Its description in RNAcentral is "partial 16S ribosomal RNA". It matches the Rfam family "Bacterial small subunit ribosomal RNA", at positions 524 to 776 of the family's 1533-position model. The record is from RNAcentral.
UACGUAGGGUCCGAGCGUUGUCCGGAAUUAUUGGGCGUAAAGGGCUCGUAGGCGGUUCGUCACGUCGGGAGUGAAAACUCGGAGCUUAACUCCGAGCCUGCUUCCGAUACGGGCAGACUAGAGGUAGGCAGGGGAGAGCGGAACUCCUGGUGUAGCGGUGGAAUGCGCAGAUAUCAGGAAGAACACCAACGGCGAAGGCAGCUCGCUAGGACGGAACUGACGCUGAGGCGCGAAAGCGUGGGGAGCAAACAGG